CAGGUGCGGCUUCAGAUUUGAAUAUCCUGGGGCUCUUCCGUUCUUGAUCCGGGCUUCAGCUCUGAGCCGGAGGUUGGUGUCGGUGUCCGAAGGACCGGCAGGGAGCACACAGCUGCACAGAUUCCUUAAAAGCAAAUGGAAGUCACAGAUGUACAAACAGAGGAAGGAUUUGGGCCAUUUUUGUUACAGUCUGAAGAAAAGUCAAAUAUAAUCUACCAGCACCAAGAUGCUGUGGUUCUCUAUGAUAAAGCAAAGAAGAAUACAAGGAGGGACCGGUGCAGGCAAUUAACAUCAACUGUUAGGACACUGAUUGCAGCUUGCUAAGGAGAGCUGAUAUGGUGAUACGUGCCUGUGUGUGCAGGCAGAGAAACCUCAUGGCAGAGAACAGAAACACCGCACUCACCUCCACAGCUCCCAGCAUUAUUAAAACAAAGAAGCUGCCCAGCUGGGGAGACUGCAUGCAGAAUAUGGUGUGCAAUAACAAACCUUUGUCUGAUCCUCCAGCCAUUUAAAUGUCAGGUAUGUCUUGGAGAAAAAAAAAGUAAUAAUACCUCCCAGCAUUAAUAGUUUGGGACCACAAUGAAGAAGUUGUAUGUAAUUUUCUAUGUUCUUCUCUACAUGUGUCAGUUCCCAGUACCAAGAUUUAGCUUGGUCAUUGCACUUGGCAGUCUUGGCCCACAUCACUGGAAAUUUCUGAUAUAUUUUGUUUCAGGCUCACAGGGAAGGCAACCAUUGCUGAAUUGGUGUAUGUUUGCUCGACAUCUUAAGGCUCUCUUUGAAACCAAGAGAGAGAACUAACCUUUAAUUUAAUCACAUUACUCUGUAUUGUGGAAGCCUGGUGUGACUUGGAUUAAUUGAAGUUCCGGAGAAGGAGGAAGGUCUCAGUGACUCAAUGAGACAAAACUGACCACUUAUGGCUGAAACAAGAAAGUAGGAAAAUGAGAAGAGACUGACACUAAUAUGGUGGUACUUCAAGUACCAUACUAGAUCCGCUUUACUGAGGAGGCUUAGAAGCUUAUCAGCCAAAAUGAAACAUCUAAUAGCAGGUAGAGAAUGAGGCAGAAAGGAAGGAGAGUUUAGAAAGAAAAUAUUGAAAACAUAAUAAAUCUUUAACCUCGUUUACAAGUCAUACCACCUUGUUGUGCUCUCCAUUUGCUGGUUUUGGAGGUACUUUGCAUCUUUAAGCUUUGUGCUACAUCCUCAGGGUAACUUUUUGAACCAAAGCCAGUAUUUUCAUGCAAUGAAGCCUAAGGCUUGAAAGCAAGAAGAACGAAGGCAAACUAAACAGCAAAGGGAAUUUAAGCUAUGAGUUGUGGUGUGCAAAAAAAGAGCAGAUGAAGAAAAUAAUUAAGAGGAAAGAAAUCAAUCAACAACAGAUUCAGUUACUCCCGCAAAGCAAAACAACCAAUAAAUUAACUUGCCUAUGACUCUGUCAUGACUGUGUUUCUGUGCAAAAGGAUUGUUUUUUUGGCUCUGUGAUCAGUUGAAAGGAGCUUUUUUUUUUUUUUUUUUAAGAUGGUCAGAAUUAACAGAAAAAUGCUCCUUUUCAAGAAGAGGGAAUUACAAAAAGAGCCUCCAUCGGAUGUUGGUUAAAUUAUUGUUUCCUGGCAGGCGGGUUUAGGUGGCUCUUCAGAAAACAGAGCCAGAG
RNAcentral lists this long non-coding RNA (1648 nucleotides) under Gallus gallus (chicken). The record is from RNAcentral. Lineage: Eukaryota; Metazoa; Chordata; Aves; Galliformes; Phasianidae.